CUACGGGAGGCUCCAGUGGGGAAUAUUGCACAAUGGGCGCAAGCCUGAUGCAGCAACGCCGCGUGAGGGAUGAAGGCCUUCGGGUUGUAAACCUCUUUUAGCAGGGAAGAAGCGAAAGUGACGGUACCUGCAGAAAAAGCACCGGCUAACUACGUGCCAGCAGCCGCGGUAAUACGUAGGGUGCAAGCGUUGUCCGGAAUUAUUGGGCGUAAAGAGCUCGUAGGCGGUUUGUCACGUCUGCUGUGAAAAUCCAAGGCUCAACCUUGGACUUGCAGUGGGUACGGGCAGGCUAGAGUGCGGUAGGGGAGAGGGGAAUUCCUGGUGUAGCGGUGGAAUGCGCAGAUAUCAGGAGGAACACCAAUGGCGAAGGCACAUCUCUGGGCCGUAACUGACGCUGAGGAGCGAAAGCGUGGGGAGCGAACAGGAUUAGAUACCCCGGUAGUC
This 444-nucleotide ribosomal RNA is filed under the name uncultured bacterium. Its description in RNAcentral is "partial 16S ribosomal RNA". It matches the Rfam family "Bacterial small subunit ribosomal RNA", at positions 339 to 795 of the family's 1533-position model. The record is from RNAcentral.